This 248-nucleotide ribosomal RNA is filed under the name uncultured bacterium. Its description in RNAcentral is "partial 16S ribosomal RNA". It matches the Rfam family "Archaeal small subunit ribosomal RNA", at positions 473 to 720 of the family's 1478-position model. The record is from RNAcentral.
ACACCGGCAGCUCAAGUGGUGGCCAUUUUUAUUGGGCCUAAAGCGUUCGUAGCCGGUUUGAUAAGUCUCUGGUGAAAUCCCGCAGCUUAACUGUGGGACUUGCUGGAGAUACUAUUAGACUUGAGGUCGGGAGAGGUUAGGGGUACUCCCAGGGUAGGGGUGAAAUCCUAUAAUCCUGGGAGGACCACCUGUGGCGAAGGCGCCUAACUGGAACGAACCUGACGGUGAGUAACGAAAGCCAGGGGCGC